GAUGAACGCUGGCGGCGUGCUUAACACAUGCAAGUCGAACGAAGCACUUUUACAGAUUUCUUCGGAAUGAAGUUUUAGUGACUGAGUGGCGGACGGGUGAGUAACGCGUGGGUAACCUGCCUCACACAGGGGGAUAACAGUUGGAAACGGCUGCUAAUACAGCGUAAGCGCACAGUACCGCGUGGUACAGUGUGAAAAACUCCGGUGGUGUGAGAUGGACCCGCGUCUGAUUAGCUAGUUGGCAGGGCAACGGCCUACCAAGGCGACGAUCAGUAGCCGACCUGAGAGGGUGACCGGCCACAUUGGGACUGAGACACGGCCCAAACUCCUACGGGAGGCAGCAGUGGGGAAUAUUGCACAAUGGGGGAAACCCUGAUGCAGCGACGCCGCGUGAGCGAAGAAGUAUUUCGGUAUGUAAAGCUCUAUCAGCAGGGAAGAAGAAAUGACGGUACCUGACUAAGAAGCACCGGCUAAAUACGUGCCAGCCGCCGCCGUAA
This 497-nucleotide ribosomal RNA is filed under the name uncultured bacterium. RNAcentral's name for it is "partial 16S ribosomal RNA". It matches the Rfam family "Bacterial small subunit ribosomal RNA", at positions 28 to 523 of the family's 1533-position model. The record is from RNAcentral.